GACGAACGCUGGCGGCGUGCUUAACACAUGCAAGUCGAACGGAAAGGCCCUGCUUUUGUGGGGUGCUCGAGUGGCGAACGGGUGAGUAACACGUGAGUAACCUGCCCUUGACUUUGGGAUAACUUCAGGAAACUGGGGCUAAUACCGGAUAGGAGCUCCUGCUGCAUGGUGGGGGUUGGAAAGUUUCGGCGGUUGGGGAUGGACUCGCGGCUUAUCAGCUUGUUGGUGGGGUAGUGGCUUACCAAGGCUUUGACGGGUAGCCGGCCUGAGAGGGUCACCGGCCACAUUGGGACUGAGAUACGGCCCAGACUCCUACGGGAGGCAGCAGUGGGGAAUAUUGCACAAGGGGCGGAAGCCUGAUGCAGCAACGCCGCGUGCGGGAUGACGGCCUUCGGGUUGUAAACCGCUUUCGCCUGUGACGAAGCGUGAGUGACGGUAAUGGGUAAAGAAGCACCGGCUAACUACGUG
This 468-nucleotide ribosomal RNA is filed under the name uncultured bacterium. RNAcentral describes it as "partial 16S ribosomal RNA". It matches the Rfam family "Bacterial small subunit ribosomal RNA", at positions 28 to 507 of the family's 1533-position model. The record is from RNAcentral.